AGGCGAGGGGGGGCGGCGGGGCAGCCCGGUGUGGGGGCAGCUCCCACCGGCGGGGCAGCCCGGUGUGGGCCGGGCCGGGCACACCGACUGGCUCAGCCUCGGCAGUGCCGCCUUUCGGCCUCGCUGGCGGCUGGGUGUCCCAGCCAUCGCUCCGGGGGGGCUGCGCCGGCCCAUCCCCGCCCCUUGCACCGUGCGGGUGCCCCCCGGGCCGAGCCACCGCGGGCGCUGACCCUCUGCCCCCGGCCUUGUCCCGCUUCCCCUGGUCACCGUACUCCAAGUGCAAUACUCGGGCUUCCUAAGGGAGCCAAACUGAACCAGCUCCAUCUGUAGCUCAAGCGAUUUCAUUGCCUAUUACUGUAAUUCUUAAAAGAGGAAACCAGGAAUGAAAAGGGGUGUGGGUGUAAAAGAGAGGAUAGAGUAAUUUUUAUUAAAAAAAAAAAAUAGUGAUUUAAAUUUUCAUUUUGCAUUUAAAUGCAAUUUUUGGAAAUUGAUGCUGUUUGAAAAAGUGGCCGCUGGUGAGCUAACUCGGGAGCGCAGUGCUGCCUGGCCACAUCCUCAGCAGCCAGCUGGGGACCCGGUGGUGUUGCAUGGGGGAUAUAGGUUCUGCAAUGUACAUCAGGUUACUCAAAGCAUGACCUGAUCUGGACAGCUGGAAAUGCAGAACUCAGGGUCAGGUCUUAAGAUUCACCUAUUAAAUAGAAUGAGGCCCCACUCUUGCGGUUGCAACAACUCAGCCUCUUGGAAUUAAAUGCCUAAGGGAUGUAGACCCUUCUCCUUUCCCUCCACUCAACGGUCAGAUUGCUCCUUCCAGUGCCUUUCUUUUCCUGACAGGACCUGAACUCUGCUGCUGAUGCCCUCUGAUGUCCUCCACCAGACUGCGAGGCUGUCCAGCACUCACUUUGGAGCUGAUGCGAGUUGAAAAUACUCACUACAUCAUAUAGCCGGGCCAGAAGAACAUGCCGAUACCAUGACUCGUUAGCGCUGAAGGCUGCUGGUGCAAAACCCUAAGAGGACAAACCAAAGAAAAGAAAUUACAAAGCACUGCCACAGAGGGAGGCCCAUUCUGUCGUGGGCUGUACAUGCACCAUGUUCAGUGGAGGCUGCAGUGCCCAGCGUACUGGAGCAAGUAGCAGCAGCGUGGGUGGCACAGGACGGUGACUGGGGCAGAGGCCUGGUCCCUCCCCCUUGCAUGCAGAGGCAUUGGCCUCCCAGGUCUCGUGUCACCCACAGAUGUGGCCGCAGGAUGCGCAGAUGUGUGCUGCAAACGUGGGUGCUCCCAGAGAUCCAAGGCCCACUGUCAUUUCUUGCUGAUUAUUUGGGAAAAAUGUCCCCUUUUUAGUUACCGUGUAUUCGGUCUUGGACCACAGAAGUAAAGUGCAUGGAGUUCAGUUAUUUUGAGCUUAUUAAAUUAUUGUUAAUUUCUUGAGAAAAGAUACUCACUACCUUUCCUUCUGAAGAAACCCAAAAUCUAAGUUUAUCUUGGGUGUUGGGAUUUUUUAAGAAAUUAUUUAUAGUUUUUAAAUUACGUAGUAAAAAAAGCAUUUAGGAGAUGAGAGAGCAGCAGGUGGUUGUUCUUGCGAGUGCUGCAAACAAACUGAGGCAAUGCCCUGUGUGCUGGAAACCAACAGGCAGACCUGUGAGGAUGAAAUUGCAUUUUAAAACUGAAUUUCAAAGGCAGAAAGUCCUGUCAAGAAACUCCAUCUGUGUUAAUGGAUGGAAGUAAUUUCCUCCCUUGUUAGAUAUUCCAGAGCAGGCAGAUACUUGAUUUACAUCUGCUGUCUCCUAGUGACAUAAAAUAUGGUUUGGUGAUACAGUCUCAAUGAAGACACUGAAGGUCAGGGAACAAUUAAUCACUUUCUUGUGAGAUUUAAUAUAAAGAUAUUUGGGCAUAUUUAGGAUAUUUAGGCAUCUGAAGAUGAAGACAGCACCACCUGGAUUUAAAAAGUGUCUAAGAUGGGAACUGUCUUGCUGUCGCUUGUCAGUGCCUAGAGCAGCCAAAGGCUAUCGACGAACUGUUGCACGGCCCUAUGCUGUGAAGGCUUAAAGGAACGCAGAGCACCACGAUGCACCCAGUCAACCUCAAUUCAUUGCAAAAUAGCGUAAUGCAAGUAAAAUCAGCUGAGUGGAGUUUCCAGAGUCCAGUUUUGCUCUAAACGAGUAUAAUGCUAAACCCUCACCUUCCCUUGGAUGGGAACAAGCGGUCUGUUUUCUGCUUCUGGCAGUCAGGAGAAGGGGACUCCCAACUGCCUGGUCAGAAAGAGAUCAUUGCUGAAAGGGGUCCCAGUUUCCAUCCCUUUCACUGGAAACCAAAAGCAGUGCCUAUAUCCAGAGCCUUCUGUCUGUAACAGCUCCUGGAUUCAAAACUUCAGGGAACAGGAGACUGCCAGACCAGAGAAGACUGACGGGAGGCAUCGUUGCCUUUAAUGAUGUUUCUUCUUGGCAAUUUUUCUACCACUUUUUCCACAAAUCAUUGAGAAGAUUAGCUAAGUCUUGCCGCAGGUAUGUCUAUGUCCAGUAAGAUAUAUUUGUGAUAGAUCAGCCCAGCACUGCAAGCCUAACUGAAAUGCUGGACUCCUUACAUCUGCCACGAUGUCCUUUCUAAAGCUGGGCUUCGGCACUUCCAUGGCUGUAUCUGCGCUGCACACUGCUGCAAUAUGAAUGAAUACGUAAGUGAACCUAGGAAGUUACUGUGACGGCUCUCCCCCCAAGUGGUUGCCCAGAAUCUAAUGGAAAAACAAGCAGUAGGUGUACAAACAGGCAGCUGACUGCCAGUUGGACUCACCCCCAUUUUUGCUGCAGCACUUCAAUAAAAGCCAAUUAUACCAAACUCCGGUAACGUCUGUAUUACUGAUAGACUGCAGACGUAUUUAGUCUUUAUGAAUGAACAGGCUAAGCGAAGCUAAAUUGUUCUGCUAAACAUCUUAGUGAGUAAUUAACCCUGAAUUAUCAACAACAGGCAGCUAUGGUAAUGGUUACGAAAGAAAUAACAACCAGUUGCACAGUUAUUAACACGAGAGCACUGAACAAGGCAGACGAACAGCAUGUGCUGCCAUGGAAUUAAUAGAAGGGACAACAGUGGCAAGUGCCAUCUCCCGCAGGGUGGUACAGUUCCAGGGGGCUGAGAUAGCUGCCGAAAGACACUUGCUUUGGCAAGAGCAGCAUGUACUCAGCAGUAGACGGAUGCAAGUCAGAAGCGGAUGAUAAUAAGGAGCAUUAAAAAUAAAUCUAACCUAAUUAGGUAAAAAAAAAAAACCAACCAAAAAGAUGCGAACCUGACAGCUGAGGAGCUGGCAACUGUUUAGUUUGAGCAGUUACCCUGUGGACAAGAAAUUCAUACUGGAGCACCAGGACGCAGCCAGAUGAAGUGACCUGCUGUGCACCCUGUGCUCCCUCACUGGACUGUGUCAGUGCCCAUUUUCUGAAGCUGUGAGCUCACCAGUUUCAGAAAGGAGAGUCUCUUUAAAAUGUCUUGUUUUGAAACAUCCUGAAACAUCAGCUAAUUCUUAAACAUCUCUGAUACCAUGUUUGUAUAGGAGCAUUCACAUACACCUGCAAAUUCUGGACCAACGAAAGACCAGGGGCUGACAAGCCUGGGACCGAGGCAUAUAGAUACAUCAUGGACGUAGCAGUGCGGGCUCCCCUCGGUGUCCCUCUCUAACCCUUUUCACGGACCAUUUGUCAGCAGAGUGAGGAGCUCCACGUCCCUUCUCGUCCUCUUUGCUGAGAAGGUAAACGAGGCAGGCAAAUAAGAGCAACCUCUUAUGACAGAGGAGACGUGUCCUCCUGGGUACUGCACUGCAAUUAAACAACUUGUUUUGCUUCCCAGCACGACUGAGGUGGCAGGAUGAAACUGAAAGAACAGUAUUAGUUACAGGAAAGAAAAAAAAAAAAAAAAGGAGAAAGCGAGUAGAAGGAUAAGCAGAGGAGAAACAGAAGGCAAACACAGUAAAAUGGAGGAAGUGGAACCAAAUCAAACCAAGGUCCUUACUGCAAGCAGAACCAGUCUGUCCGCUGAAACGCAGAGGUGGUGCAAAAAGAGCUGCUAGAUCCUCAGACUAGGAAGCCUGUCUUCCCUCCCCACCUCUUCCCUAUUUUUUUAUUUCUAUUCUUUCUUUUGAACCAGUUGUAUUAAGAAAACAGCUCCCUCUGUUCUUACUGGAGAACAUGGGGAACUUACCCGUGUAGCCUGGACUUUAUUAAAGUGUCUUUUCUUCCUUCUCCGCGUUUCUGUUUAGUGAAUCUAGUUCUCCUGGGUUACAAAAUGUCCCCACGUAGCAGCUCCCCCUGCCCUGCAGGACAGUCCCUUUGCCUUGCUGAGGAAAGCUGCCUCAAGGAUCCCAGCCGGCCUUAUCCAUCCGAUUUCUGUAUGGGGUCUUUGUGAAUUAUAAGUCCGCUCUGACACCUAGACAGCAAAUAAUUUAAUCUCAAGCUACCACCCUUUCUCUUCUUACUGUCCCGGAAAAGGUAGGGCUGGAAGAAUGGGAUGUAUGCUCUUAUAUAAUGGUAGCGACGCGAGAAAUGUGUAAUGCAUGAAGUUACAUACGUUAUUCUGGGGGAGAAGGAUUUGUCUGUCUCUUCUGGCUGCACACCCUGGCCUUGGAGAGCAAAGCAGGGCCUAUCUCCCCUCCACCACAGUGCAGUUCCUUUGGGAACUGUGUCGAAGGGUCUGGACAUACCCCUGACAAUGGGAGAUGCUCCUGGGUUUGGGGGCAGACGUUUACUCACUUUCUGGUUCCUCUUGCUCCAGAGUCCUCCCUAGGAAUCCACAGGAGACCAAGACCAGGAGCUUGAGACGUGCUUCUCUCAUCAGUGCUGCUCCUCUGACAGGCGAUGUGCUAAGCCAUGCCAGCACCUGCAGCACAGUGCAGAGGAACAAACAGCUUUUGGGGCACGGGAAGCAAGUUUUGCAUAAACACGACGAUGGUCUCUGUGCUCUAGGGCCUGAGCUGCUGUUUUUCCUUGAACUCAAUAGGUGUCUUCAGAUAACUGCCAAGAGAGGAUUUACUUCACCUAAUGCGCAGGGAGAAUUAGAAGGGCUGCAUUCAUUUAACUGCCUAAGAUAGACAUGAAGACCAGAAAAUCCCAAAUUUGGAUUUGUCACAGAACAAAAUUCUGAAGUUAAUGUCACUUUAAUGCAACAGGGUUUAAUCCACAGGAUUUUACUGGAGUCCAGCCCACACCACAGGAAAAGCUUCUGCUGGUGGAACAGAGUGUAUUUCUGGCUGUGAUUUUGAUGACUGCUGACCAGUUUGCCCAGUACCAUCAGUUUGGUAUUAAUUUAUAUGGGGAAAACUGUGCAUCAGCCAAGUUCAGUUUUCACAAGCUGGGAAUCACACAGAAACAGAAUGGGAAGGGACCCCAAAGCUCACAGAGAGCAUCUCACCCCAGUGUUCUCCUGGCCCCUAUCUAUUUAAAAAGGUCUUUAAAAAUCUCUUCUAACAGAGGUUUCUGAGCUUCCUCAGACCAUCUCUCCCUGCCUGUAACCAUCCCUGUGGCUAGAAGGUUUUUCCUAAUAUCUAACCUAAUUCUCUCAAGCUGCAAUUAAGCCUAUUAUUUGUGCCCUACUUACAUGGAUGAAUUCCUUCUUCUUUGCAAAAUACACUUCUUAUAGAAAACCAAAUUUCUGUGUUCCCUUUGGUCUUCUGCUGUUCACACUGAACACGACAUAAUCUUUAACAUGACCUGUUAGGACAGGCUCUUCCAAACUUCUAAUAAUUCUUGAUUCUCUCUGCUUGGCUUCCCUCCGGCUACUUCACAUCUCCCUUGAAGAGGAAAAAAAUUUGCUCAGCAUUUGAUACUCUGCUCUAGCUGAGGCCUUACUAGUGCUGAGUGGAGCUGAAGGAUUGCUUCAUGCAUUUUAUCAGUUACAGCUCUAUGUAAACACCCUUGUAUUGACAUUUAACAUUUUCACAACAGCCAGGUCCUGUUGACUCAUGCUCAGGUUGUGAUUCAUUCCCUGCAGAGCUACUGCAAAACCUUGGAUCCCUACCCCUUCCCCAGCACUCUGCAGGUCAAGCCCUCGUUCAUAAGUUAGUGUUGAAGGCUGACAUAUUGUUCACUUCUCCUCCUUUUUCAUUUUUUAGAAAUAUUGGUAGGGUGAAGCCAGUUCUUGUUUCUCUUUCCCGGAGUUCUCAGUACGCACCCUUUCUUCCCUCUGCUGAAGGCACACGGGUAGUGCAUCUUCACUAACAUGCUGCUUCUCCCUUCACCAACAAGGGUUUUCCUGGGUUUGUUUUUGUUCACAUCCAGUUAGCCCAAGUGAAAACAGCUUAUGAUCUGCAUAAGAUGCGCUCAUCCUCCUAUUAGCUUUUGUUUGCACGGCAAACAUACUGUCAUGAUCUUACCAGCUCUCUAGUCUCUUGGGGCCAUACGAGCACCUGCCUUCCUCAGGUUUGGCUGCUGAGGCUCAGGGAGCGCUCAAGGAUGACCCGAGAUCUCAGGACAGGGAGCUGCAGCGUUUUCCAGGCUGGCAGGGCGUCCAGGGAGCUGGGGGUAGCCCUCAGCCCAGGGCAUUAGCUGGUGGGUCAGGGCAGAGGUGCGGAUCCAGAGGCAGGCAGACUCCCCAUGAGAAUUCACGCCCUAUGUGGAAAAGAAAACAAGCAGCAGAAACAGUCCUCUCUUUCCCCCCAGGUAUGUUAUCUUUUAACAUUAACAUUUUCCCCCUCAGCAACUCCAAACUCAACCACACAAGUCAUCCUCCCAAAACACUACUUCAGGAAGCCUUAAACAUCAUAAACAAAAAAUGGUAAAACCUCUUUUACCUUUGCAGGUUAUGUUUAGUAUGGUGCUAUUAAAGGACUAUCAAGCAAUAUUAAUACAUCAACGUUUUCUAGUGUAUUUGAGUUCUGCACUUUUAAAAAUAAAGCUGGUCUGAUAAGCCAUAAAUUUACAUUUCUUAAGUCACCCUAUCUGGCUCCCUUAACAAAAUGACUGCAAUAUACAGCAGUGUAGAUCUAUAAAACUGUAGAUCUCCAAAUAUUAAUCAGAAGCUUUCAUAACAGAAAUUAAUAAAUGGAAGUCCAGAAAUUUAAUAAGGAAUGAAAUUUCACAAGCUGUUACAAGACCAGCCAAGACAGAUUUCAUAGUAUUUUAUAGGGCGUCUAAAGUAAAUUCAAUACUUUUCAAUGACAUUAUGAAACAAAAAUCACUUAACUGACUGUAGGCUUGAGGCGUGCUUCAGUUCAAGGUUGGUACUAGAGCAGUCUUGUGUGCUGGGUGACAAUCCUGAACAUCAGCUGGUAGUGCAGACACCUCUGGGACCUAAAAAGGAAGGGGUAGCAAAGAAAGUGCUAACACCUGACAGACACAGCUCUAGGAGAAUCCUGAGGGUACGACUGCAAUUGAGCUAAUUUCAGCAGAAAAAAAUGCAGAUCUUAUGUAAGCAGGACUGGAGGAUAAUGUGGAAUAUGUCUUAUCUUUCAGUAUCAAUCACUAAUAAUUAGAUUACUGUAAUAAUUGCCUCUCCAUUAUACAGGUUUUUUUGUCUCCAUUUGCUAUCACAUACAACUGCUGACAGGAUGCUACGGAACACUUUCCUGAAUGGCUGCAGCACAUCUGUCAUUCUACCAGCCUGACUCAUGACUGGGACCACUAGAUGCUACCACAAUACAAACAAAUAAUUAAGCAAUCCUGAAAAAAUAACAGAGCAAAUUGGAGUGAUCCUCUUCUCAGGGCAAUAAAGACCCUGAAACAAGAUGUCCUCUCACAAGGCUGGGCAGAUGAACCUGAUGGAGAACCGAGGGAGCACUCGCUAGGAAGCAGCGGCAGGGAACGCAGCUCGCAAGCAGUAUUUUUAUGAGAGGAAACUUUUCCACUGAGACACUAAGUAACACCAGAAAGCUGGACACCUGUCUUCUGUCUACUGCAUUCCAACCAACGUUUAAUUUGAGCCAUGAUUUACUCCAUGAGACUGCAGAAGUACGAGUUCCAACAGGUCUGACCCAUCGAGGGUAGCCUGGUCCCCACCUGAGACAUUACUGGCUGGCUUCUGGGGCCUCGGAACAUAGAAGAUGAAGAUUAUGUUUGUUCCUUUUCCUGCGUCUUUGUGAACACUGUGUUAAUAACACUUGGUUCCUUGGUUACCUCAGCGUCAUCACCCUUCAGACCUUCAGAAUAAAAUAAAUACUCAACCAAGAAGCCUUUCUCUCUCGCAUACGUCAACAAUUCCUGUCCAGUUCACCUGACAGACCUGGCCAUUUCCACAGUUCAUCAGCAGAGGAGAUGGCAGAGGAUGCCCCACAAGAAACGCCUGACGCUAAGCCUUUGAAUGCUGUCACAAAGAGGCCACCCUGAGCACCUCCAAGAAUGGGAUGAGGUAGAUGGGGAUCCUGCUCCGCAGCCACGCAGGAAGAGGUCAGAGAUGGAUGCCAAAAGAUAACGUCAAUGAGCAGCUCACUCUCUCGGCGUAACAGCUGUCUGUUGCGAUACAAAUAAAAAAGUGCACUGAGACUUCACCCAAGAUCUGCGGCCAUCGUGUGAGGCACAGGUUACAAACAUCAUACAAAUAGUGCUUGUAAGCAGGCUUAAGAAUUGGCAAACACUGGACAAGACAGGUAAGAGAUGGAGAAAUACAAA
This is a long non-coding RNA of Falco peregrinus (peregrine falcon), 8574 nucleotides long. RefSeq lists it as uncharacterized. Lineage: Eukaryota; Metazoa; Chordata; Aves; Falconiformes; Falconidae. The record is from RefSeq and is a predicted model, not a curated record. The transcript is spliced from 7 exons.